GAAGUAUUUUGGCUAUUGGAGCUAGAAUUUGCCUGCAACUAAGUGCAGCAUUAUUGCUUUUGAACUUUUCAAAAUAGCAUUGUUCCUCUUGAACAGUUAGUGCAUCUUUGCUCAACAAUUUGCGUACAUUUUAAUUACAUAGUUUUCCUCUUAUGCUGCCUAAUAGCUAUAUGAUAUGCUUUAAUUAAGGCUCAUGAUGAGAGCUUGGCUCUCCUGAAUUGUUUCCCUAUUGUCUCCUAUGAUUAAUAGACAAUUAGUCUUUUAUUUGUAGACUACUUGCCACAGUCUUUUCUUAGAACCAAGGUCCACCCUAGAAUAAGGAAGAAUCACUGAUUCCAGGUGGUAGGGCUGAAAGCAACAGGAUCAAACAUCUCAAGCCUGCUGCUAGAUGUUGUGGUCUGACAAACUACAUGGCUUCUGUUAUCAAAACAGGAAAACAAUACCUUUGUCCUGAGAGCUGGUUCCAGCUUGAAUACUUCACCCAGUUUUGGGCCCAGACUUCCCUGUAAUCAGUAAACCGGUACGGAGACUUUAAAUCAGGGAUAUACAGUUUAUUUUUACUGAGGUCUGGAGUAUUUCUUGCCAUGACAUGCUCAGCAGAAAGUGAGAUAGCUCCUGUUCCCUCAGAAGAGGCAAGAAGUGCCUAUUAUAGCUGAGCAAAAAGUGGUGUCCUCCUUCCUGGAAGUCCAGAGAAGUAUUAAGAAGUAUGGUAUCUUCCACUGGAGUGAAGGAGACAUCACGUGUCUGAGACCUUGGUAAG
RNAcentral lists this long non-coding RNA (760 nucleotides) under Apteryx rowi (Okarito brown kiwi). Its description in RNAcentral is "lncRNA (ENSARWG00000004844.1)". The record is from RNAcentral. Lineage: Eukaryota; Metazoa; Chordata; Aves; Apterygiformes; Apterygidae.